CCUAUGGGUGGCAGCAGUGAGGAAUAUUGGUCAAUGGACGAGAGUCUGAACCAGCCAAGUAGCGUGAAGGAUGACUGCCCUAUGGGUUGUAAACUUCUUUUAUAAAGGAAUAAAACGAGGCACGUGUGCCUUUUUGCAUGUACUUUAUGAAUAAGGAUCGGCUAACUCCGUGCCAGCAGCCGCGGUAAUACGGAGGGUGCGAGCGUUAAUCGGAAUUACUGGGCGUAAAGCGCUCGUAGGCGGUAUGUCAAGUCAAGGGUGAAAUCCCCGCGCUCAACGUGGGAACUGCCUUUGAAACUGGCAAACUGGAGUGUGUGAGAGGAUAGUGGAAUUCCAGGUGUAGGAGUGAAAUCCGUAGAUAUCUGGAGGAACAUCAGUGGCGAAGGCGACUAUCUGGCACAUAACUGACGCUGAGGAGCGAAAGCGUGGGUAGCAAACAGGAUUAGAUACCCGUGUAGUC
RNAcentral lists this ribosomal RNA (460 nucleotides) under uncultured bacterium. RNAcentral's name for it is "partial 16S ribosomal RNA". It matches the Rfam family "Bacterial small subunit ribosomal RNA", at positions 338 to 795 of the family's 1533-position model. The record is from RNAcentral.